Molecule: ribosomal RNA, 381 nt
Filed under: uncultured eukaryote
Lineage: Eukaryota
Description: partial 18S ribosomal RNA
Rfam family: Eukaryotic small subunit ribosomal RNA
Source: RNAcentral
CAAUAGCGUAUAUUAAAGUUGUUGCAGUUAAAAGCUCGUAGUUGGAUUUCUGGUUGAAGCGACCGGUCGGGCGUUGAUUCGUCUGCACUGGAGUCGGUUUUGGCCAUCCUCUAGGAAAGUGCGUCUGGUAUUAAGUUAUCGGGCGUAUGAUCCUGGUCUUUUACUGUGAAAAAAUUAGAGUGUUUAAAGCAGGCCUUCGCCUUGAAUACAUUAGCAUGGAAUAAUAAGAUAGGACUUUGGUCUAUUUUGUUGGUUUGCAGACCGAAGUAAUGAUUAAUAGGGAUAGUUGGGGGUAUUUAUAUUCCGAUGUCAGAGGUGAAAUUCUUAGAUUUUCGGAAGAUAAACUUAUGCGAAAGCAUUUACCAAGGAUGUUUUCAUUAA